ACGGAAGAGAGUGGACAGCAAGAGGAGGGAGAAGGAACAAUGGAGGAACUGAGUGGACUAGUUGGAAACAUACCAGUACAACCAAGGUUUACCCUCUCAGUCUGUCGGUCGUUGCAUUCUCAUGUAGUUCAGCUAGUAAAGGAUCAGCUGGGUAAGAGAGGGCUCCAACCAUCAGAUGUUAUACUGAGAACGAACAUCAAGUUCCUAACCAGUGCAGCUGGACUCGCUGAAGUAAGACUCUUUGUCGCCGAAAAGUUUGAACAAUGGGUUCAAAACUCUAAGAUGGUGAAGCAGGUACAAGAGUUGCUCUCUACAGUCGCCAUUAAUUCUCAUCAGAAUACUCCGGAGGAUGUGAGAGUCUUAGAGACGCUCCUUAACGUCAAGCUCAAGACCAGGUUCUUCUCACAGAACUACGUCUCUUGCAUAAAGGAGUUUGUUAGUGUCCACCAAAGUUACAUUAGCAUUGUAUUAAGACGAGUAGUUAACAAUGAGUUAUCUCAGACCGUCCGUCAACCGACCAACAUUCAAGUGUUGACCAGCAUAGUCCAACAGUAUCCUGAAGAAUCCAUGAAAGUAUUAGGUUCUGUAUUUCAGGAUUUUCUUUGUCGCAAGGAAGAUUUCUUGCGCGCUCUGAGAGGGUUUUUACGAGAGCUUGUUAGACGUUGCGAGGGUUUCCCGUUUAGCGUGUUCGCUCGCUCUCUGAUGCAACAAAGAUCGGAACCGGAGUAUAGCGCCUUGGACCAACCUCACAAAGAGCGAAUGGCUACCUCUCUAGCUGAUCUCAUAUCUGUUACUUGUCUCCUCUCAGUCUCUGCUAGUAUAAGAGAGCUCUAUUCCAGUUAUAACAAAGGGGACAAGACUCAUUCUCAGUCUCUGGCUCAGUUCUUUGACACUCUUGGUCUGAUACAGCGUGAUGCUGUCUGGUGGGUCCACUCCAUCCUACCAAACUUCCUCAGACCUCAACCCUCCGACUAUAAAGCCUGUCUACGUAAGGUAUUAUUCCUGGAGCCUCAUGAUUCUUAUUGCGGUAAAGAUAACUGGCCACCAGAGACUGAGAGAGGAGCCAUUCUUCAACUGAUGACAGAGUGCUCACUGAAGGGAGACACUCUCAUGAGAAUACUGGUCAUAGGCCUGGAUAGGGAUUUGCCUCUAUCCCCGAGUGAUGCUCUAGAUAUCACUGAUAAACUGGUUGCUAGAGCAGCCAAUGUUCAUACUAAUGAUAUUCCUCGUGUUCCAUCAUUGGAUAAGAGAGAGCUCUUUGAUGCUAUUUUUGAUAUAACUGCCUAUCGUCCUCCCUCCUCCAUAAUGCUCCCAAAGUCUUACAAACCUCCCGAUCUUGCCAUCUCUAAGUUGUAUUGGAAAGGAUGGCUCCUUCUCCUUGUACUAGCUGCCUUUAAUCCUAAAACAAUUGGUUCAAUAGCUUGGAGUGAGUACCCAAUGCUGCAGGCUAUGAUGAUAAUGGUCAUGACUAAUGAAUAUUCACAUUCACUGACCAUUGCAAAGUCCAACAGAGAAGCAUCAUCAUUACAAGAAGAGAAGAUAGUCCAAGAAGAGAAAGAGGUGAUAUUGACAUACGAGAAUCACCUAGCUGUAUCUUCAUCAUCAACUGAAACUGAAGUGACAGAGUCAAACAGUUACCUCUUGAAUCAAGUGAUGUUGCUUGACCCCAGAGGACCAGCGAGGAAGCUUCCCUCUUCAGCACUAGAGCUUAUAAAGACUGUCAAUGGCUCAUUGAGAUUAGGCCAGUUACUGUGUCAGUGCAGACAGCCUGACUUCCUGCUAGAGAUAAUACAGCAACAGGGCACCAGUAAAGCAAUGUCGUGGUUGAGAGAUCUUAUAGAUGGGAGUCAUUCUUCACUGGAUGUUCUUCCUGUCCCUUGUCUGUGUGAGUUCCUCAUCACUAGCUAUCAGGAGAAGAGGUCCCUCGGUAGUUCUGCUAAGCAUGAUGGCUCUGAUGCUGAUGGAGCUGGAUCUCAUCGGACUCACUUUAAGAGACGACAAAGGACAAAAGAGAAGGUUCAUUAUCAACACGAUCAGAUUAUCGGUCGUUUGAGGUCACUAAUAUUCAGUUCAUCCAAUCCUGAGAGUGUACUGGAUAUACUGGAGUAUUUCAUUAGUAAACUAACAUCAUCAUCUUCCUCGCAGUUAGCACUAAAAUCAUUGCAAGAUAUCCUCCUUCCAAACUCUCCUCCAGGAGGAUCAAUGGACAUUAAAAGUGAAGAGAGGCCCUCCUCUUCGUGGCUUUUAAAUCACAUUCCAUCUCUGAGCGUUUUUCCGACCAUAUCGACCCAACUAGUCUCGUCUGUUCUCAAAGCUUGCUGUCAUGAGCUAAACACGCAUCUCUUCAUGUCUUACCUGCUCUUUAUCACCACUCACUCCCCAAGAGACAACAGGCUCCCGUUAAUAGGUACAGAGCUAGCUGUCCUUCUCUCUAGAAGGUUCCCUUUCUUUAAGAAAGCUUACCAAAGUGCCCAGUCUCCUCUCCAACUCCUCCUCUCUCUCCUGGACCUGUUCCAGAUUACACUGGAAGCAGCUGUGAAACAAGACUUUCAACCGCCUUCAUCUUAUCCUGAAGCUGAUCUUGUAAUCCUCUCCCUCCCUUCUCUCUCAGACGAUUGUGAAAUUGUCGUUGUUACUCAAUUCGUUGAUGCUGUUUUUCUAGUUCUUUCCCUCAUGCCACCAGGCAGCCCAUUGACCAGCCCAGGGGAGUCCCUCUUUAAUGCACUAUUACCAGACAGUGAGCAGGGGAGACCAGCUCAGGCUCUUUCCAUGGGGACCAGAGAGCCACAGCAGCUAGCAAAGGGACACGUACUAGAGACUCUCUUCAUUAAUCCUAACACUGACCUCACGCGUAGACUCAUCAGCACUCUAAAUGAGAAGCAAGUGUGUCACCUACUCUCACUGUAUGGCGUACCAUUAGUUAAUAUGGACCUUGUUCUUUAUACAUUAGAUCAAAUGUGUGAUAAUGAUGACUUUGUUCUAUAUCCUGAUGUUAAAUCUCUACUAGGUCAAGUGAGGAGGCAGCAUAUACGUGGUUGUACUAGCGGACACAAGUUUCUCUCUUACCUAGCGACCAGGCAGCAGAAGCAGCAGCAUCCUAAGUAUUCCUCUACUACUAGUAGUGUCUCUAUCAAUAAGAGGACACAAGAUGAGGAGGUUCCUAUGUCUGUGUGUCCUACUACUGCUACUGUGUCUUUGCUCAGUAUUGAAGAAGCUGUUUCGAUUGUUUUUGAAUCACCAGAUGACCCUAGAUCUGGGCCAGCUGCUCAGAGAUUGGUUUUGUAUCUGUUGUCUUUACUGAGAGAUGAUCAUUAUUUGGAUGCUAAAGGAACAGACUCAUCUGUACUGGGUCUUAUCAUUAACAAAAUGUCCUCCAUUUCUCCGUCUUCUCUCGAUCCUGUCUUCAAGCAGUCAUACUCAUGGAAUCUGUUCCAUUUAAUAGCUCGCUCACUCCUUAAGCUCUCCCCUACUCUCACUAAAGCUUAUCUUGAGUCCUCUCUCUCUAUCAUCAAAGCAACUGGCUCUGGCUCCAAACCCAGACAAAUACUUGGGUCUUGUGUGGCACUCUUAACCCCCCAGCCGCUUAACAUCCCUUCCUUCUCUUUCAACAAAGGCUCUCACGCUAGCAAAUCUCCUGGCAUCGUCAUCCAGCCUGGGCAUGAUUUAGAAGAGACGCUGCUUCCCUUUGCUCGUUAUUCCAUACUCAACGGAUCCCAGGAUCACUUCAUAGACUCCUUAUUGAAGCUAAGGGCUAGGGUACCAUCAGUCAAAGGCCUCCUCUGUGAUAUUGCAGAGCUAAUGGAUCCUGAAUUAGUACUGGUUUCUCCUCUAAUGCAUGUUAGUCUCUUCUCUCAGUCCGAGGAUGUUGUGUAUUUGCUGGAGAAGUUCCUUCAUCAUGUUUCCCUGGCUACACUCCAGGCUACACUAGUCAAGGCAUUGAGCACCCCUCCUGAAAAAGAUGUCAGUUCUUCUUUGUUGUUGAACCUCCUCUGGGCUAGUUUGCACUUGCCUAAUCUCUGGCAGGGGAAAGUAAAGAAAGAAGCAAUCAUAGACAGCAAUUUAUGCAUGGGAAUUGAAGAGAUUCAUCAGUUAGAGCUCUCCACCAAUCAGUUGCAUAACAUUGUCGAGCACAUUUUGAAAGAAAUGUCACAAAGUCAUGAUAAUGGCAGGAGCCACUGUUCACUGCUCUCAUCAACCUACCUACCACUACUGGUUACCUGUUCCAGGAAUAAAACUAGAAUGGUUGCCAGAUAUAUAUCAGAGCAUAGCUCCAGUCAUGCCCCAUACCUAUUAUUACUAUUGUAUUAUGGUGAUCCAUCAGUUAGCUCAUUCCUAAAUCAUUCGAUUUACUCUGAGCCUUCGUCUUUCUCUCUUCCAUCCAAGAUGGACUCCUAUCUUCAUUACCUACUCACUGCAAUGACCAACGUGUCUUCGGAAAUUGAUUCUAAUGUCCGUAGAAUGACAGCUGCUAGUUUAUUGUGUCGACAGAUAUCAGUUGCCCACCCAUUACUGAUCUUAAGGCAUCUGCCUCUCCUUGGUUGCCUUUUGAAAGGCCGGACUCAUUUGAAUUCAAGAAAGUUCAGUUCUCAGCAUCAAAUUGUCUUCAAUAAUAUAUUCCACUUGCUUCAUUUGCUGAGGCCGCUAAUAUUCUCUAAGAGCGCUGAUCUCGAGUCUUGUUUGGAAUCUUUCAUGUCCUACUUGAAAGUGAGUGCCUCCAUGUAGCCCAGGCUACCAUGUAAUCCUAUACUACGGCAUGUCACCUGAAACUUCUUUGAUGGCCUCUGUGUUUGCCACAAGACCUUUGGGAUAGUAUUCAUUGUUCCUUUGUGUGAUUAUGGUUUCUAGUUACUUUUGAAGGUGUACUAGAUCAUCUUAGCUUUAACUUGUUGUAUUUCACACAGAACCAGUGCCUCAGUGCUUCGGUCCCACACAGUCUCUUUAAUAAAGUAUUGUCAUUUCUCACCGAGUACUGUCAGCAGUCGCGAGAUCAA
RNAcentral lists this unclassified non-coding RNA (4991 nucleotides) under Amphimedon queenslandica. Its description in RNAcentral is "integrator complex subunit 1-like, transcript variant X1". The record is from RNAcentral. Lineage: Eukaryota; Metazoa; Porifera; Demospongiae; Haplosclerida; Niphatidae.